AGACCUUCAUGAAAUUACUGAAGCUAAGCAAAUAUGUUAUCUGGUUCAACAUGAAUUUCUGCCUGAUCUUAUGGGAAGCUCCCGAUCAUGAAUUGUACCACACUGUUGGUUCCACUUUGAGGCAAAUGACUUGUCUACCCUAUGUAGGUGUCCAUGGGAGUGUGUGGGGUGUGUGUGUCUGUGUGUUAGUGUGUGUGUGUGUGUGUGGCUUCUAACCUUUAGCAGAAGAAGGAGCUUUGAGUCAUUAACUCUUAGAUCAAGGGAUUGAUACAUUGGCCCACUGAAGGGCAUCUGGCAUGGCACCUUGAGCUCUUUCUAAAGUUUAUUUGGGAAAAAAAUUAAAUCACACAUUUUCCUUGUCCAGGAACUCACAAACUUAAGAAAGUUAGCCACAUCCACAUAGUCUAGGGAACAAGAAAGAAUAAUCAAUAACAAAGAGAAUAUGUUUGUAUUUAUCUAUCUAUCUAUCUAUCUAUAUAUAUAUAUAUAUAUAUAUGAGAGAGAAA
Molecule: long non-coding RNA, 506 nt
Filed under: Marmota monax (woodchuck)
Lineage: Eukaryota; Metazoa; Chordata; Mammalia; Rodentia; Sciuridae
Source: RNAcentral